GGGGGCACCUCCUACAGGCCCCAAAUACAAUACGUAUUUCAUGUUUCUGUUGGUGGCAGCAGGUGGCCUAAAGAUCAGAAAGAUACAGUCUCUUCCCUGCCCUCAUUUUGCCUAUUACAGUGAAAAACUGGGCAGAGCAGAGAGGAAGAAAGGCAGCAGUAGGCAUGGGAAUAAGCAGUAAAGAUAUAAAAUUGCUCAGGUCUACUGUGACCACCCUCAGCUGCAGUACAAUUGCAGCCUGAGGACUGCUACAAAAGCUGUGAAUAGUUGCUCUGUCUCUGUGGUAGCAGAUGGUGGGGAUUAUGGUUCUCUCAAGUACUGAUAGUUUCCCUUGAGCAACACCUUUUUUUUUUUUUUUUUAUCUCCCCUCCCCCCUCCCCCCCCCCCCUUUUUUUUUUCUUUACAGAAGGCAGACAUUUAUUUUAAAUGUUCAAAAAUGUAACCUCUGUUUCAACUUUGAAGGAAAGUGGCAGAGGGGUCAUCUCGUUAUCUUGUAUGAAUAUGACUGGAGGUGAUAUUUGCUGUGUGGAGACUUGUUCAUAUAUUCCUUCUUCCUUCUGCGCUCCCUCAUGAGUUUUCUUGCACUUUAGAAACAGAGAAAAAAAAAAAAGUAUAAUUCAGAUUGUCUUCAGCUGUAUUUUUCCCUCCUGUGGUUCCAAACUGUCACAGAUGGAAGGACAUUUCAGACUGUGGAGUUUCCUUCAAACAAUCCAUAUAUCUGAUUUUCUACCAGUAACAGCCAGACUGAAGGGGAAGGAUGGAAACUAUAGUAUGUUCUAGCAUAUGUUCACAUGGACACAGCUGUUAACAGAAGUGAAAAGGAAUUAAACAAUAUCAGUGACUGGAAGUGGGAUUGUGAAAUAAUCCUCACCACAAUUAACAGCCUGGGACAACUGUAAAUUUUUCCAGCAAAGAAAAAGGCGACAAAACAAGAAGAAAUUGGCUUCAUAAAAAUCCUUAUGGUAGCCUUAGUUCUCAGUUGUUUAAAUCACUGAAAUUUUGAUGAGAGAAUGGAGAUGUCACAAAACGUUGGGGAUCAGGAGACUUAUGGAUCGUCAUUCUUGUAGCAGCACCUGAAAUGAUGGGGUCUCCUUCAGAGCUACAUGAUGGUGCAGCUUUGCCAGUGGACUGGGAGAAGAUGGCACCUGAAGUGCAUUUCAUGUUCCAGUUGGGAGAAAAUUCAGAACAGAGAAGAAAGGAAUGCAAGUAUACAUCUUUCAAAUCUGACACUGAUGAGUUAUUUAAAUCAAUACUUGCCUGUCAAAAAUUAAAUUCAUGAGGGAACUUUUAAGAACACGUUCUGCCAAAUGAGAGGACCUAUAGCUGCUAUCAUCCUUCAAGAAUGACACUUGAAUUUUAUCUAAUUGUAAUACUUCCAUGUUUAAUUACUAAGUGUAACAUCACAUGCUCAUCGACAAAUAAAGAUUAAAA
Molecule: long non-coding RNA, 1431 nt
Filed under: Gallus gallus (chicken)
Lineage: Eukaryota; Metazoa; Chordata; Aves; Galliformes; Phasianidae
Description: lncRNA (ENSGALG00010007794.1)
Source: RNAcentral